Molecule: long non-coding RNA, 954 nt
Organism: Acinonyx jubatus (cheetah)
Lineage: Eukaryota; Metazoa; Chordata; Mammalia; Carnivora; Felidae
Exons: 3
Source: RefSeq, a predicted model, not a curated record
CGUGCCCGGAAUCACCUGACUUGGAGCCGUGGAGGGGGGAGGAGGAGUCACGAGGAGGGUGGCCCGGCCGGCCGAGCCCUCUGCCCUCCGCCCUAGCGAGCACCCCGGUCCUGCCCAGCCACGCGCGGUACUCCUCGCCGCUCCCCUGCCUUCUUAGGAGCUCUGGAGGCCAUCGCAACGGGAGAUGCUCUCUGGGCAUUUGGGGGAAGAACUAGUUGUGCUCCUACAAUGGUACUCGCCCGACCAGUAUUUAUUGAUGCCCGCGAUGCCCUGGGGGGAUAAGGGACACAAAACUGAGACCGACUCGGACCCUGCCCGCCCUCAAGUUGCUCGAAGAUUGAUAGAGAUCGGAUCUCUGCGACUUGUCCCUUGGUCCUGAUAGUGACGCUCAACAGCUCAGGUGACCGCUCUGCUCCACGGCAACUCUCCUCACUGACCCCAGGCGCUCACUCUCCUUUCUGUGCUCACAACUUUACCUCACAUUUUCAGCUUCCCACGGACAAAAAUUGUAUAGAGAUAUUCGUCAUGUUUGAGGUCAGGAAAUAAAAAUAAAGAUGAAAGAAAAAUUCUGGUGCCAAGAAGGAAGAUAAGUGCUCCGCGAAUAUUGAUAAAUGAAGACACCAUGAUUCCCAAAUACCAGUUAUCGUUUAAAAGAAAAAAGUCCAUAGAUUCCAUUCCCAAAGUUCUUACCACUAGAACAUUCAUAAAAUAGCCUCCCAUCAGAGCAUAGACUCCUCCUGAAGCACCCACAAGACAUCUGAGUGGGUCGAAAAUGGAGCUGGCAAGGGACCCUAAAGAAAGAAAACCACAAAGGAUCAGACAUAACCGUAAGAAUCAUGAAAAACAAAUCUAUAAUGUAGAAGUUGGGACGUUUGGACCAUUACCAUAUUAACAAGCAACAAAUUGAUUCUGUUUGUCCCUUCCAUACUAUAAAGGUAUAGACGUGUGGGCUAA